AUUGAACGCUGGCGGCAGGCCUAACACAUGCAAGUCGAACGGUAACAGGAGGCAUCUUGCUGCUUCGCUGACGAGUGGCGGACGGGUGAGUAAUGUCUGGGAAGCUGCCUGAUGGAGGGGGAUAACUACUGGAAACGGUAGCUAAUACCGCAUAAUGUCGCAAGACCAAAGAGGGGGACCUUCGGGCCUCUUGCCAUCGGAUGUGCCCAGAUGGGGUUAGCUUGUUGGUGGGGUAACGGCACACCAAGGCGACGAUCCCUAGCUGGUCUGAGAGGAUGACCCGCCACAACGGGACUGAGACACGGAACAGACCCCUUAGGGAGGGCGCAGUGGGGAAUAUUGCGCAAAGGGCGCAAGCCUGAUGCAGCCAUGCCGCGUGUAUGAAGAAGGCCUUCGGGUUGUAAAGUACUUUCAGCGGGGAGGAAGGGAGUAAAGUUAAUACCUUUGCUCAUUGACGUUACCCGCAGAAGAAGCACCGGCUAACUCCGUG
RNAcentral lists this ribosomal RNA (490 nucleotides) under uncultured bacterium. RNAcentral describes it as "partial 16S ribosomal RNA". It matches the Rfam family "Bacterial small subunit ribosomal RNA", at positions 30 to 507 of the family's 1533-position model. The record is from RNAcentral.